Molecule: long non-coding RNA, 265 nt
Filed under: Lathyrus oleraceus (garden pea)
Lineage: Eukaryota; Viridiplantae; Streptophyta; Magnoliopsida; Fabales; Fabaceae
Description: Pisum sativum (pea) long non-coding RNA (PSAT_LNC017423)
Source: RNAcentral
CAAAUAUUCAUGAAAUGACAAUGAUGCAUGAUUUGAAUGUGGGCCCAAGUGUGUUAGCUUCCCAAAUGUUUGACUUUGACUUUGAGUUGACUUUUCCUUGCUGCCUUGACUUUUUCUUUCAUGUUUGACCCUAGGCUAGUCCUAGUGGUCCUUUGGACUUAUGUUGAGUUCAUCUGUUUCAGGUUGAGCACAAUGCUUCAAAGAUCACUCAAACUUGUUUGAAUUUGAUUUGUUUAUCCCAUGCUAACCUUUGUUUUGCAGAUGG